Molecule: small RNA, 670 nt
Filed under: Pongo abelii (Sumatran orangutan)
Lineage: Eukaryota; Metazoa; Chordata; Mammalia; Primates; Hominidae
Description: retained intron
Source: RNAcentral
CCACGUGACUGUGGACGGGUGCCGCUGGAUAUCAAGAGGGCCUACUCAGAGAAGGGGCCCCCUGCCAACAUCCGAGAGGGCCUGUCCAUCAUGCAUGAAGCCAGAGAAAGGAGGCGAGAGCAGCCCAAAGGGAGGCCCAGCCUUACUGGAGAGAAUUUAGAGGCCAAAAUGGGACCCUGUUGGUGGGAGUCAGGGACUGGAGACAGUCACAAGGUGCUGCCACGGGACCUGGAGAAGGAGGAUGCCCCCCAGGAGAAGGAGCGACCGCUCCAGCAGGUGUCCCCUGUGGCCUCGGUUCCCCGGAGAAGCCACAGCUUCUGCAAGGACAGGAGGAGUGGGCCCUUUGUGGUGAGUGAUGCCACAUGGCUGGAGAGGAUUGCACAGGGGUGCUGGUUGCUGGACACUGCUGUGAAUGUGGUUGUUGGAGCAUCUGGACGGCCCAGGGCCCUGACGGGGUUGAGGGUAGCAGGCAACUGUCCAGGAAUCUGGUGUCACCUGACUAGCUGUGUCGUGGUUCUUGAUGUGGAGGGUGUUUGGUGGCUCUGCUGGGGAAACCUUCCUCUUGAGUUUCCAGCCCAGCACUACCUGGUGUGGAGUGGUUAAGGGAACAUAGACUGGUGUUGGAAAGUCCUGGGUUCAAAUCCCAGCACGGUCUCCUGUGAACCUCUUU